Vigna radiata var. radiata (mung bean) is the source of this 908-nucleotide long non-coding RNA. RefSeq lists it as uncharacterized. The record is from RefSeq and is a predicted model, not a curated record. NCBI's taxonomy places the organism in Eukaryota, Viridiplantae, Streptophyta, Magnoliopsida, Fabales, Fabaceae. The transcript has 2 exons.
GGUUGAGAAAAAAUAGGUUGAGCUGGCUUAACGGUGACGUGCCACGUAUUUUUUUUCUUCUGCCAGUGAAUCAAUCUUUCUCGGCUUUUCUCCCUACCUCUCUCUCCCUCUCCCUUCCUCUGUCUCCUUCCUUGCUCAUCUUCAUGCCGAGCUUCUCUCACUCCAUCUUCCACUCUUCUUGGUCAUCAAACCCCUGUAGACAUUGUAACUGCACACCUCCCCUUCUUGUCCACCGCUACACUCACAUCCCACAUCGCAGCCGCAUCACCAUACCGUGGAUUUUUCGAAGCUCAGAGUUCAAUCAAUGUUAACUACUUUGUUUAUCCCCAAAAAACUUCUUCGAAGGCACAGAAUUCGGCAAAACAAUGGGGGUUUAAAUUGGUGCAGUGGUGUAAUGUUCGCUUCGCGUUGUUUGACACGACAAUGGUGUUUCGGACCCGGGUUUGGUGAUUCAGACUUAGGGUUUUUAUAUGCCAUUCAAUUCGUUGAUUUGCAGGUUUUCGUGGGAGGAAGAUGGGAUUUGGUCUCUAGGGGAGUUUGGUGGGAGUUUUGUUGUUGUUUGAUCUCUAGGGUUUUGGUGGGAGGAAGAUGGGAUUUGGCUUUGCAUUGCAUGUUCUGUUUGCUAAAUUUGGGUUUUUUUGGGGCGUAUGGGUAACCCUGCUUUUGUGCAGAAUUGCAAGUUUGACUGUGGGUUAGUCUGCCAUUAGUAUCACUCAUACAUCUAGUGUUGAUAUAUGUAUGAAUUGUAGUUAUCUGAUCAGGGAAUUGGAAUAAGCUUGAUAUGGGGGAGGGGAAGUUUAGUGUUAUUUAGACAUGAAAAGAGUUAAAAUUUGGUUCAAAUUGAGGCUUCUGUGGUGUUUUUCUUUAUUAGUUUUGGAGAGUAAAAAAUUAUAGUUUUCUUAAUAAAA